RNA transcript from Mastomys coucha (southern multimammate mouse), 1904 nucleotides. It is a transcript of the gene named TBC1 domain family member 7, with no coding region annotated. The record is from RefSeq and is a predicted model, not a curated record. The transcript has 8 exons. NCBI's taxonomy places the organism in Eukaryota, Metazoa, Chordata, Mammalia, Rodentia, Muridae.
GUCCGGCGGCGAGAGUGAGAGGCGGAGAGAGCCGGGCCGGGUGUCCCGUAGUAUCGUUCCUCUCGCUCGUUCAGCCCUGACUCUUAUGGUUCUGCCUGGCCGCCGGUAGCACAGCGUUCCCGGCCUGCUCUCCGCUUAGCCCGAUCUCUUAGUCUGAACCGGGAGUGUUUGCUCUACUAGAGGCUCACUUAAAAAAAAAAAAUCCCUCCAAGGAUGAAACAUGACUGACGACUCUCAGAGGAACUUUCGUUCAGUCUACUAUGAAAAAGUCGGCUUUCGUGGAGUUGAAGAAAAGAAAUCACUGGAAAUCCUUCUGAAAGAUGACCGUUUGGACAUUGAGAAGCUUUGCACAUUUAGCCAGAGGUUCCCUCUCCCAUCCAUGUACCGUGCAUUGGUAUGGAAGGUACUUCUAGGCAUCUUGCCUCCACACCAUGACUCUCAUGCCCAGGUGAUGGCCUAUCGCAAAGACCAGUACUGUGAUGUCCUCCAUGCGCUGACAGUCGUCCGCUUCAUCAGUGACGCCACUCCACAGGUUGAAGUGUAUCUUCGCAUGUAUCAACUUGAGUCAGGGAAGUUGCCUCGAAGUCCCUCUUUUCCUCUGGAGCUGGAGGAUGAAGUCUUUCUUGCCAUUGCUAAAGCCAUGGAAGAGAUGGUGGAAGACAGCGUGGACUGUUACUGGAUCACCCGAUGCUUUGUGAAGCAGUUAAAUAACAAGUAUCGGGAUGCUUUACCUCAGCUGCCCAAGGCUUUUGAGCAGUACUUGAAUCUGGAAGACACUAGGCUGCUGAGUCACCUGAAGACGUGUUCUGCAGUGUCCAGACUUCCUUAUGAUCUCUGGUUCAAAAGGUGCUUCGCGGGAUGCCUACCCGAGUCCAGUUUACAGAGGUACAUGUUUCCCCUCGCACACUGGGAGCUUGGAGUCAGAAAACGAUCCUGGCCCUUAGGUGAUCAUCCUUCAGAACUUGAGUUUGCUCCAGAACAAGAAGGGUCUGGGAUAAAGUCGUAAGUGGAUCCUGUAAGAUCCUAGUUUUUGUAGCAGUAGAAAUAUUAUUAACCUUUAAAAUAAAGGUCAUGGCAUUGAACAGUGCAGAGAAGAUAACAAAGUUCCUGGAAAAUAUUCCUCAGGACAGCUCAGAUGCCAUCGUGAGCAAGGCCAUCGACUUGUGGCACAAACACUGUGGGACCCCAGUGCAUUCGGCCUGACAGCUCGUGACUUCAUGGGCAGUCUGCAGGCCUUCCCUGAGCACUUUGUUCAUGUCACCUGGUCUACCAACUGGUUAGAAAUAACAGUAUUGCUGUGUUGCUCAAAAUGCAACCGCCCCCCCCACCCCCCAAAUCAGUAAACUAAUUUAAUCAAAAUGCCUGGUGUGGCCAUGCUGUGAAGCUACAUCUCUUGGUGACACCCACGUGCAAGUCUGGAAUAGUGUUCUGAAAGGGCGAUUAGGAAAGUACUCCUGGUCUUAGGCAACUCAGCUUAUGCGCAGCCGGGGCACUCUUGUGAAUGGUAAGAGUUAAGCCCUGCCUCCCUCUGAUGAGCACCAGCACACGUUAGUUAGUUAGGAAGGACUGAUUCUGGAAGAAGAGCAGCUUUCUUUUCCUAGCCUCUCUAAUUCGGCUUGUGCUUUCUGUUGACCUAGAACGUAUAUAAGUGUGAGCUGACCACCAUCUCAUGCUCUGUCUGGUUAAACUGGCUUAAAAGCAGUCCCUGCAUUUCCUUAUGUGUUCCCUCCCUUUGUGCCAGCUGGAAUGGAGGCUUGUCUUUUCUUUCCUGAGACAAGGCCUCAUUCCAUACCCCACUCUCUGGAACUAUUUAUGUAGUUGGCCUUGAACUCCUAGCGGUCUUCCUGCCUCAGCCUUCCGAGUGCUGGGAUUUUAUUAAAUAAAACACCUCAUAAUUUACCUUC